Molecule: ribosomal RNA, 2238 nt
Filed under: Bacteroides fragilis HMW 616
Lineage: Bacteria; Pseudomonadati; Bacteroidota; Bacteroidia; Bacteroidales; Bacteroidaceae
Description: bacterial LSU rRNA
Rfam family: Bacterial large subunit ribosomal RNA
Source: RNAcentral
GGAUCCGAAGCGAAAGCGAGUCUGAACAGGGCGGAUAGUCGGAAGGAGUAGACGCGAAACCAAGUGAUCUACCCUUGGGCAGGUUGAAGGUUAGGUAACACUAACUGGAGGACCGAACCGAUAAGCGUUGAAAAGCUUCCGGAUGACCUGAGGGUGGGGGUGAAAGGCUAAUCAAACUUGGAGAUAGCUCGUACUCCCCGAAAUGCAUUUAGGUGCAGCCUUGAGAAUUACUAAUGUGAGGUAGAGCGACUGAUAAGAUGCGAGGGCUUCACCGCCUAUCAAGUCUUGAUAAACUCCGAAUGCGCAUUAGUUCGAUCUCAGGAGUGAGGGCAUGGGUGCUAAGGUCCAUGUCCUAAAGGAGAAGAAUCCAGACCAUCAGCUAAGGUCCCCAAAUAAACACUAAGUUGAACUAACGAAGUCAGAUUGCUAAGACAGCUAGGAUGUUGGCUUGGAAGCAGCCAUUCAUUUAAAGAGUGCGUAACAGCUCACUAGUCGAGGAGUUUGGCGUGGAUAAUAAUCGGGCAUCAAGUGUUUUACCGAAGCUAUGGGAUACGUAAGUAUCGGUAGGGGAGCAUUCCACUCUGCGUUGAAGGCGAAGCGUGAGCUUUACUGGAGCGUGUGGAAAAGCAAAUGUAGGUAUAAGUAACGAUAAAGGGGGUGAGAAACCCCCUCGCCGCAAGACUAAGGUUUCCUGAUCAACGCUAAUCGGAUCAGGGUUAGUCGGGUCCUAAGGCUCAGCCGAACGGUGAUGCCGAUGGCAGAACAGGUUAAUAUUCCUGUACUAGCAUUAAGAGUGACGUGGAGACGGAGGAGUGACAACGCCGCGGACUGACGGAAUAGUCCGUUAAAGGGUGUAGAUGUUGAUUAUCCCAGGCAAAUCCGGGAUAAGAGUCGAACCUGACAGUAUACCAAUUUCCCCGGAAAACGGUAAUAGUGCGUGUAAACAUACUCCCAAGAAAAUCCGCUAAACUUAAUCUUAAUGGUACCCGUACCGUAAACGGACACACGUAGUCGGGUUGAAUAUACUCAGGCGCUUGAGUGAAUCACGGUUAAGGAACUAGGCAAAUUGACCCUGUAACUUCGGGAUAAAGGGUCCCUACCCGGUGACGGGAGGGCGCAGAGAAUAGGUCCAGGCAACUGUUUAACAAAAACACAGGGCUGUGCAAAAUUGAAAGAUCACGUAUACAGCCUGACACCUGCCCGGUGCUGGAAGGUUAAGAGGAGAUGUCAUCGCAAGAGAAGCAUUGAAUUGAAGCCCCAGUAAACGGCGGCCGUAACUAUAACGGUCCUAAGGUAGCGAAAUUCCUUGUCGGGUAAGUUCCGACCUGCACGAAUGGUGUAAUGAUCUGGACACUGUCUCAACCGUGAGCUCAGUGAAAUUGUAGUAUCGGUGAAGAUGCCGAUUACCCGCGAUGGGACGAAAAGACCCCGUGAACCUUUACUAUAGCUUAACAUUGAAUUUGGGUAAUUGAUGUGUAGGAUAGGCCGGAGACUUUGAAGCAGGUACGCCAGUAUUUGUGGAGUCGCUGUUGAAAUACGGCCCUUUGAUUAUUUGAGUUCUAACUCGCAGUCGCGAGGACACUGUUUGGUGGGUAGUUUGACUGGGGUGGUCGCCUCCAAAAGUGUAACGGAGGCUUCUAAAGGUGCCCUCACGCCGAUUGGUAACCGGCGGCAGAGUGUAAUGGCAUAAGGGCGCUUGACUGGGAGACUUACAAGUCGAUCAGGUAGGAAACUAGAGCAUAGUGAUCCGGUGUUUCCGUAUGGAAGGGACAUCGCUCAAAGGAUAAAAGGUACUCCGGGGAUAACAGGCUGAUCCCUCCCAAGAGCUCAUAUCGACGGAGGGGUUUGGCACCUCGAUGUCGGCUCGUCACAUCCUGGGGCUGGAGAAGGUCCCAAGGGUUGGGCUGUUCGCCCAUUAAAGUGGCACGCGAGCUGGGUUCAGAACGUCGUGAGACAGUUCGGUCUCUAUCUAUCGUGGGCGCAUGAAAUUUGCGUGGCUCUGACACUAGUACGAGAGGACCGUGUUGGACUGACCUCUGGUUUACCGGUUGUGCCGCCAGGUGCAUUGCCGGGUAUCUAAGUCGGGAUUGGAUAAGUGCUGAAAGCAUCUAAGUACGAAGCCAGCCACAAGAUUAGAUUUCUUUUAGGGUCGUUGUAGACUACAACGUUGAUAGGACGCAGGUGUACAGGUGGUAACAUCACAGCCGAGCGUUACUAAUUGCCCGAUGACUUUCUUUU